RNAcentral lists this ribosomal RNA (315 nucleotides) under Klebsiella pneumoniae. RNAcentral's name for it is "bacterial SSU rRNA". It matches the Rfam family "Bacterial small subunit ribosomal RNA", at positions 1 to 310 of the family's 1533-position model. The record is from RNAcentral. Lineage: Bacteria; Pseudomonadati; Pseudomonadota; Gammaproteobacteria; Enterobacterales; Enterobacteriaceae.
ACUUAAAUUGAAGAGUUUGAUCAUGGCUCAGAUUGAACGCUGGCGGCAGGCCUAACACAUGCAAGUCGAGCGGUAGCACAGAGAGCUUGCUCUCGGGUGACGAGCGGCGGACGGGUGAGUAAUGUCUGGGAAACUGCCUGAUGGAGGGGGAUAACUACUGGAAACGGUAGCUAAUACCGCAUAACGUCGCAAGACCAAAGUGGGGGACCUUCGGGCCUCAUGCCAUCAGAUGUGCCCAGAUGGGAUUAGCUAGUAGGUGGGGUAACGGCUCACCUAGGCGACGAUCCCUAGCUGGUCUGAGAGGAUGACCAGCCA